GCAAGAUACCACGGGCGCACGGCGGAUGCCUUGGCACAGGGAGCCGAUGAAGGACGCGGCAAGCUGCGAUAAUCCCCGGCGAGGAGCACACAUCCUUCGACCCGGGGGUCUCCGAAUGGGCGAACCCAUCCACAGCAGUGUGGAUAUCCCCACCCCGAACACAUAAGGGUGGGGAGGACAACCCGGGGAACUGAAACAUCUAAGUACCCGGAGGAGAGGAAAUCAAUCUCGAGACUCCCCGAGUAGCGGCGAGCGAAAGGGGACCGAUGGCCAAACCGUCGAGCGGGCAUACCCGGCAGGGGUUCCGCCGACGGGGUUGCAGGGCCGCGCAUCCGGGGGCUGCCGCCCCCGGGCGCAGGUCCGGCUGGGGAGCGGAACGGCAUGGGAGGGCCGGCCGCAGCGGGUGACAGCCCCGUACGCGAACCCAGACCGGACGGCGCGACGCGGUCCCUGAGUAGGGCCGGGCACGUGAAACCCGGUCCGAACCUGGGUGGACCACCAUCCAAGCCUGAGUACUACCCUGUGACCGAUAGCGCACCAGUACCGUGAGGGAAAGGUGAAAAGCACCCCGGGAGGGGAGUGAAACAGUACCUGAAACCGUGCGCCCACGAGCAGUCGGAGCACCCUUGUGGUGUGACGGCGUGCCUUUUGUAGAAUGAGCCAGCGAGUCGCUGGCGCGGGGCGAGGUUAACCGAAAGGGAGCCGGAGCGAAAGCGAGCCUUAACAGGGCGACUUGAGUCCCGCGCCGCGGACGCGAAGCCGGGUGAGCUAUCCGUGGGCAGGCUGAAGCGGGGGUAAGACCCCGUGGAGGGCCGAACGCACGUCGGUUGAAAACGGCGGCGAUGACCUGCGGAUAGGGGUGAAAGGCCAAUCAAACCCGGAGAUAUCUCGUUCUCCCCGAAAUAGCUUUAGGGCUAGCGUCGCGCGUUCACCGCCGGAGGUAGAGCACCGGAUGGACGAGGGGGCUUCGCCGCCUACCGAAUCCAACCGAACUCCGAAUGCCGGCGGCCCAGAGCGCGGCAGUCAGAGCAUGUGGGCUAAGCUGUGUGCUCGAGAGGGAAACAGCCCGGACCGCCCGCUAAGGUCCCCAAGUUCCAGCCGAGUGGCAAAGGAUGUGCGUCCGCCCAGACAACCAGGAUGUUGGCUUAGAAGCAGCCAUGCAUUCAAAGAGUGCGUAACAGCUCACUGGUCGAGUGGACAUGCGCCGACAAUACACGGGGCUAAGCAUGGCGCCGAAGCGGCGGACUAAUAGAAUUAGUGGUAGGGGAGCUUCCCCGGGGGGGCGAAGCCGGAGGGCGACCUCCGGUGGACCGCCGGGGAGUGAGAAUGCUGGCACGAGUAGCGAGAGCGGGGCGAGAAACCCCGCCGCCGCAAGCCCAAGGUUUCCUGGGCGAUGCUAAUCAUCCCAGGGUCAGCCGGGAGCUAAGGCGAGGCCGAGAGGCGCAGCCGAUGCGCAGCUGGCAGACAUUCCAGCGCCGCUCCCGCGCCGCUACGACCGAAGGGGCGACGGAGAAGGGCAGCCGGGCGGGGUUCUGGACGUCCCCGUGAAAGCGCGUAGGGGGCAGGGCAUGGAAAUCAGCCCUGCACGUGCCCCGAGACGCGAGACGAAGCCUCCAUGGCGAAGCCGGUCAUCCCAUGCUCCCGAGAAAAACCCCUAGGCAGGCGCGGGCGCGCCCGUACCAAGACCGACACAGGUGGGCGGGUAGAACAUACCGAGGCGAUCGGGAGAACCAUGGUCAAGGAACUCGGCACACUGGCCCCGUAACCUAGGGAGAAGGGGCGCCCCCCGGCGUGAAGGAGCUGUGCCUCCGGAGCGCGGGGGGGCCGCAGCGAAACGGCCCAAGCGACUGUUUACCAAAAACACAGGACUCUGCCAAGCCGCGAGGCGAAGUAUAGGGUCUGACGCCUGCCCGGUGCCGGAAGGUUACGCGGAUGCGUUAGCAGCGAUGCGAGGCGCUGAAGCCAAGCCCCGGUAAACGGCGGCCGUAACUAUAACGGUCCUAAGGUAGCGAAAUUCCUUGUCGGGUAAGUUCCG
RNAcentral lists this ribosomal RNA (2035 nucleotides) under human gut metagenome. Its description in RNAcentral is "bacterial LSU rRNA". It matches the Rfam family "Bacterial large subunit ribosomal RNA", at positions 1 to 1985 of the family's 2925-position model. The record is from RNAcentral.